This 449-nucleotide ribosomal RNA is filed under the name uncultured bacterium. RNAcentral's name for it is "bacterial SSU rRNA". It matches the Rfam family "Bacterial small subunit ribosomal RNA", at positions 330 to 795 of the family's 1533-position model. The record is from RNAcentral.
UCCAGACUCCUACGGGAGGCAGCAGUGGGGGAUAUUGCACAAUGGGGGAAACCCUGAUGCAGCGACGCCGCGUGAGUGAAGAAGUAUUUCGGUAUGUAAAGCUCUAUCAGCAGGGAAGAAAAAAGACGGUACCUGACUAAGAAGCCCCGGCUAACUACGUGCCAGCAGCCGCGGUAAUACGUAGGGGGCAAGCGUUAUCCGGAUUUACUGGGUGUAAAGGGAGCGUAGACGGCAAUACAAGUCGGAAGUGAAAUACCCGGGCUUAACCUGGGAACUGCUUUGGAAACUGUAUGGCUGGAGUGCUGGAGAGGUAAGCGGAAUUCCUAGUGUAGCGGUGAAAUGCGUAGAUAUUAGGAGGAACACCAGUGGCGAAGGCGGCUUACUGGACAGUAACUGACGUUGAGGCUCGAAAGCGUGGGGAGCAAACAGGAUUAGAUACCCGUGUAAUU